Small nucleolar RNA from Malania oleifera, 98 nucleotides. RefSeq annotates it as small nucleolar RNA snoR109. The record is from RefSeq and is a predicted model, not a curated record. The transcript has a single exon. Lineage: Eukaryota; Viridiplantae; Streptophyta; Magnoliopsida; Santalales; Ximeniaceae.
CGGUUGUAGCUAAAUAAAUGUUGAGAAGUUAACUGGCCGAUUGUCGUAAGAUUUUGCAAUCUCCAUCGACGAAUCUGCCUCUUGAUCUUCUCACACUU